This 227-nucleotide long non-coding RNA is filed under the name Amborella trichopoda. RNAcentral describes it as "long non-coding RNA (ATRI_LNC000058)". The record is from RNAcentral. Lineage: Eukaryota; Viridiplantae; Streptophyta; Magnoliopsida; Amborellales; Amborellaceae.
ACGACAAAAUAAAGAAAUACAAUUCUCUACUUCCAAAGAUGAUUGUUUUAUUCCUCACCUCAAAAGGUCCUUACAUCACCAACUACCUGGAGCCCAACUGUACCACUGAAGGCAACUUCCACAUACAUUGAGCUGUCGGACUCCUUUCAUUCAACGACAAGGCUCGCACAACAGGAAAACGACACAUCUUAACCGUCCGAUUUUUCUUCUAAUAGUUUGGGUUGUUG